AACGAACGCUGGCGGCAGGCCUAACACAUGCAAGUCGAACGGGAUCUUCGGAUCUAGUGGCGGACGGGUGAGUAACGCGUGGGAACGUGCCCUUUGGUCGGAAUAGCCCCGGGAAACUGGGAGUAAUACCGGAUAAGCUCUACGGAGGAAAGAUUUAUCGCCGAAGGAUCGGCCCGCGUUGGAUUAGGUAGUUGGUGAGGUAAUGGCUCCACAAGCCGACGAUCCAUAGCUGGUUUGAGAGGAUGAUCAGCCACACUGGGACUGAGACACGGCCCAGCCUCCUACGGGAGGAAACUAUGGGGAGUCUUAGACAGUGGGGGAAACCCUGCUCUAGCCAUGCCGCGUGAUCGAUGAAGGCCUUAGGGUUGUAAAGAUCUAUCAGUGGGGAAGAUAAUGACUGUACCCACGGAAGAAGCCCCGGCUAACUCCGUGCCAGCCGCCGCCGUAA
RNAcentral lists this ribosomal RNA (448 nucleotides) under uncultured bacterium. Its description in RNAcentral is "partial 16S ribosomal RNA". It matches the Rfam family "Bacterial small subunit ribosomal RNA", at positions 29 to 523 of the family's 1533-position model. The record is from RNAcentral.